GACGAACGCUGGCGGCGUGCCUAAUACAUGCAAGUAGAACGCUGAAGGAGGAGCUUGCUCUUCUGGAUGAGUUGCGAACGGGUGAGUAACGCGUAGGUAACCUGCCUGGUAGCGGGGGAUAACUAUUGGAAACGAUAGCUAAUACCGCAUAAGAGUAGAUGUUGCAUGACAUUUACUUAAAAGGUGCAAUUGCAUCACUACCAGAUGGACCUGCGUUGUAUUAGCUAGUUGGUGGGGUAACGGCUUACCAAGGCGACGAUACAUAGCCGACCUGAGAGGGUGGUCGGCCACACUGGGACUGGGACACGGCCCAGACUCCUACGGGAGGCAGCAGUAGGGAAUCUUCGGCAAUGGACGGAAGUCUGACCGAGCAACGCCGCGUGAGUGAAGAAGGUUUUCGGAUCGUAAAGCUCUGUUGUAAGAGAAGAACGAGUGUGAGAGUGGAAAGUUCACACUGUGACGGUAUCUUACCAGAAAGGGACGGCUAACUACGUG
This 495-nucleotide ribosomal RNA is filed under the name uncultured bacterium. Its description in RNAcentral is "partial 16S ribosomal RNA". It matches the Rfam family "Bacterial small subunit ribosomal RNA", at positions 28 to 507 of the family's 1533-position model. The record is from RNAcentral.